GCAGCGUUUUGGUGGGUUAGUACAGAAGCAGCGUACCCCUGGGGCUGAAAAACACCAGAGAUCCCACAGGGAGAUCUGCAGGCAUGGCUCCAGAUUGAUUCACUAGAAAUAAUGAAGAAAGGAUAAGCAGGUGAAGACCUGUACCAUGAAGUGGAAGAAUAAUCCUGUGUGAAUCACCUUUGCCUGCAUAGUUAGCAUCUUUCACAAUUACUUUCACUGAAAUAAAACCUGUUGCAGUCUCAGUUCUAACACAAACGCAGCUCUCCACUACCACAAACAGCGCGGCCGAACUGAAAUCAGAGGAGCCAACAAAGCCAAGGUACAAGGGAUGAACCUCAUCCCAGAAAAAUCACUUUGACCAUAGUGUCUGCUCUGCCAGGAAAAGGAUUUAAAUUGCAAUCCUUGGAAGAACCACUACAUUCACCUGUGUUUCCUGAUCAAACACAGCAAGUGCAGUCUUUUAAAAGCCGCAUGGAAUAUCUAGGAACUCGGUGCCCUCUGCUGGUACAUCAGGGAAAAGUGAUCUGAACUUUAAAGUCGAGCAGGAAAGAAUGGCUGUUCACAAAUAAAGCUAUGGAUGUAACACACAAACCGUCCACCUAUGCCUGCGUUGAUUGUUUCAAAGUGUCUAACAUGGCAAAGUCCAGUGUAAGCUACAUAUGCAGAAUAUGUAAGUUCUCCAUCCAUGAGCUGUAAGUAAACUGCCAUUUCACGUCAC
Molecule: long non-coding RNA, 718 nt
Organism: Oxyura jamaicensis (ruddy duck)
Lineage: Eukaryota; Metazoa; Chordata; Aves; Anseriformes; Anatidae
Exons: 4
Source: RefSeq, a predicted model, not a curated record